Molecule: RNA transcript, 5947 nt
Organism: Corapipo altera (White-ruffed manakin)
Lineage: Eukaryota; Metazoa; Chordata; Aves; Passeriformes; Pipridae
Gene: CHST9
Gene name: carbohydrate sulfotransferase 9
Exons: 7
Source: RefSeq, a predicted model, not a curated record
CUUUUCUGCUGACUCCUCACGCCCCCGCGCCUCCCCGCUCCGUCACACGCCGGGAAUUCGUGGCUCGUCUCCAAAAUAAAAAAUGGACUGGUGUUGCCUGUGCGUUUUAUAGCAAUAGAGUGGAUGACUGGGGCAGGCUGCGAGUCUUAUUGGCAUACUGAGAACACCUGGGUUCACUGCAGUCCAUAAACAAGACGAAUCAUUUCACCAGUUCAAAAAAAAGGGAAGAUCUUGCUUUGACACAGUCCUUCUCCUAAUCUUCCCCAUUCUAAGAGAGGGGAAAAAGCCCACCUCCAAUCCUACUAGAAGACUGAGAGCCAUCAAGUUCCUGUCUCGUGAGCCCUGUUUCUCUUUUAACUUCCCAGAAUCCGGGUGUCUUCCAUGUGGGACUGCUCACUGACUUCCAGCAGUGCUUCAGACAGUGCGAUGUCCAGGAGCUGUAGAGUGAAACCCUUAGAACUGAAUAUUCUGGUGAAGUGGUGAAGUUCCAGAUCCCGAUGCUUUUGGUGUCUUCUCUGUUUUCUGUUGGUGUCUCUGGGGAAGAUACUGAAGAAGAUGCAGGCAUGCUGAAAACUUCAGAAAAGUGAGCCAUGAGUCUUUUCGAAAGCUGAAAAGAGGACCCCUAAUAGGGUCAUGAACCUGAGACAAGUCUUUGUGUCUGUACUGCUGUUUGGAGUAGCUGGUCUACUCCUCUUCAUGUAUCUACAAGCUUGGAUUGAAGAACAACAUACAGAGUCUGGAAAAAAGCUGCGACAACAGAUAAUUAAUCAGGAUUUCACACUCCAACCUCCGGGGAUGCCAAGGGAAGCAUUAUGGAGCAGAAGCGCUCCCGUGAGCCUCAGUAAACAUGAGAUGGCUGUCUCAAGCAGCAAGCACUGGCAGGGCAAGGCUGACCCUUUCAGUGUGGUAGCUGCCUCCUUGGUGAGCCAACUGCCUGACCAGCAGAAGACAAGCGAGUCACCUCUCAGCUGGUUCAGAGGAGUGUAUUUACCCCCUGCACUGUACCCAUUAAACAAGACGUUAGUCAAGGAUAACAAGUGGAAGGAUGUAGAUAGCACCCAGGAAAAGCGCAGGUCAUUCCUGCAUGACUUCUGUAAGAAGUACAACAGCAGAAAGAAGCUGCAAACCCACCUGGUGCACCUGGUGUCAAGAAUUUAUGUGGAGGACAGGCACAAGGUCCUGUACUGUGAAGUGCCAAAAGCAGGCUGUUCCAAUUGGAAAAGGGUCCUCAUGGUGCUCAGUGGACUCGCCGCUUCAGCACACAACAUUUCCCAUGAUGAUGUACACUAUGGAAAACACCUUAGGAAACUGGACAGUUAUGACCUAAAAGGGAUAUACACACGCUUGAACAUGUACACCAAGUUUAUAUUUGUACGUGAUCCUAUGGAAAGACUGGUAUCUGCCUUCAGGGAUAAGUUUGAACAUCCAAACAGCUAUUACCAUCCAGUAUUUGGGAAGGCAAUAAUUAAGAAGUAUAGACAUAACGCAGAUGAAGAGGCUUUGAAAACAGGAUCAGGAGUUAAGUUCAAGGAGUUCAUCCAAUAUUUGUUAGAUUCCCAUCGACCAGUAGGAAUGGACAUUCAUUGGGAGCAAGUCAGUAAGCUCUGCUACCCCUGCCUCAUCAACUAUGAUUUUAUAGGAAAGUUUGAAACCCUGGAAGAAGAUGCCAAUUACCUUUUGCAACUGGUAGGUGCUCCAGCUGAUCUGAAGUUCCCUAAAUUCAAAGACAGACAUUCCUCUGAUGAGAGAACAAGUGCAGAAGUAGUGAGGCAAUACUUAAAGGAAUUGUCUAAGGAGGAGAGACAGCUGACCUAUGACUUCUAUUACCUUGAUUACUUAAUGUUCAAUUAUACAUCACCAAUUGUAUAGCACCAGAAUAGCUUCAGGCUUCUAUUAGAUAUUUAUCGUUUUGGGAUUCAAAGCAACUACUUUGAUAUCAGCCCUGAAAGGAAACAAAGUUACUGCUAAAUGGAGUUGACUUAGUGGGGAUUUUAUAAGCUAGAGUGAUAUCAAUUGGCGUUAAAUUAUAGGAGAAUGCACAGAAAAGAAGACCUGUUAACAGCAUAAAUUGCACUAAAAUGCCUGAAAAAGCUGCUUUUAUGAUUGUGGAUUACACUAUGGUAGCUCAGCCAGCUGUUGCAUUAUCUUACCUAAUGUUCUUCUAAUGUUUUAAGAAGAAAACAUUCAGAGUAGCAUGAUUCUUUUUUGGUGUGUCUGCUUUAGAAAUUGUUUUUGAAACAACUUUUGAAUAUAUUUUUACUUUCUGUCAGUUAUUAAUAAAGAAGCAUUGGCUAAUUUUCUAAAAUAUUUGCAGCAUCCUCAGUUGCAAGGCUUCGUUGUUUGAUUACCAUUAAACUGUAGCCAUUUUUAGACCUGAUUUUUUUUUUAUUGAAGGAUGCACUUGAAUACAAAUGCAUCAAGCUACAAAUAACACAGCAGCUCAGUUGAUCAGUAGAGUAAAUUUGGGUAAGCCUGUGAAGUGCCAGUCCACUACCCCAUUUUGAUUGAUGCACUGGAGCUGACAAAUAUGAGAGAGAGCGCAUAUUUUCUCUACUUUCAGAGAGCUGCUGCAUUCAUUAAAAUUAAGAUUUUAACUUACAGAGGGUACAUCAUUACAUAUGAUGCAUGGAUACUGUGGUCCCAAUACUCAAUGUAGUCUUCAUUUUUGGUGAUAGGGCAAAGUUUUAGUGUGGCAGCUACAGAACAUUCUAAGGUCUGUACUGAGAAGCAACCUCAAUGCAACUGCUGUGACCAUUCUUGGUCUGCCAGGGUCCAAUCAUCAGCCCACCUCCCAGGAAUUUUUAACACAGAAGGUGCAUAUGCCCAUUGCCUCCCAAGCCCAUAAACUGGUGCUGUCUCCAGAGCUUCCUGAAGUCACCUGUGUUUUGCUGUCCUGCCUGCCUUGUCAGCAGCCAGCAAACCCCAGGAAUGGGGUGGAUGCUUCAGUUAUAUGAGGUGGGAUGUGUAUUGGUGAUUUUUCCUAGAGGCAGGUAUGUCCAGAGUCCCACAGUCCUGGUUAUAAAAGGAAAAGGUACCUUCUACAUUCCCCUUUGCUCUCCUCCCUCAAAUGCUGCCUGACCAACAUUUGCAGUUGUUCCUGAAACCUGCAUUGAAGGAUGGGUCGCCAGGGUGUCCCAGGAGGAGGAGAAUCUCUGAAAAAUCACAGGAUCAUGGAAUCAUUGAAAAAGACUUUUAAGAUCAUCAAGUCCAACCAUUAACCUAACACUACCAAGUCUACCACUAGACCAUGUCCCUAAAAUGGGUAGGAAAAAAUCUCUAUGCCCUUCUGCAAUAAAGAUGUCACCUAUUCUUUGCUUUCUGGAGUGGUUUGGGUCAUCUUACUCCAGUGUCUUGACAAAGCAGGUUGUAGAAUAAGGAAACAGCUUGAUGGGAAAGUGAUGCAAGUAAAAUGUCCUCUGUUCCCAAUCACUGGUCACAACUAGUGCAAUUAUUGCUGUCUUUUCCUUUAUCGUGGGCAAAUGUACAGUUUCAGUCGUUUCACAGGAGUGGGUCCCUGCUGAAAAGGCAGACCAUCUCCUAUUCUCCUGUGUACCCUUGGCUGCUUGUUUCUCCUUCAGUUUUGUCCUCAGGAGAGGAAGAAAGCCACCUCCAGUCUCUGUGGUGCCAGUAUGUAAUUGAGCAAGCUCUGCAUAUGUCUCCUUGUGGCAGGACAAGCCGCUCCAAGGGAGAAAGUUGAAGGUGAUGCUAUUUGUGACUAGCAGCACCCAUAGAUGAAUCCAGCCUGUUCCCUGGGGCCAUAGAGCAAAGAGGAGAAGGAAAAAGACAUCAUCACUGUGAGGUGUUGCAGUGUGGUAUGUGUCAUGACCAUGAGGGAGGUGCAGAUGUUCAGCACCAAUAAGAAGUUGCAAGGAUGCCUUGGACAGAUGUAGCUCUGCUUGUGGCUGGAGUGACAGACUUGGACUUCAGAGACCUGGAUCUUCCUCCAAGUUCUGUAACUUCAUAGACUUGUUGGACAAACAUGAAAUUCUCUGUGCCUCGGUGUCCCCAUUGGUAAAGUGGUCCUGUACAUGGAAGGAAAUUAUACCAUGUGCCUUCUCCUAAAAUCAUUGAACUAUGUGGAUAAAGAGCUGUGGUUAGAAAUUAGAUUGCCUGGGACAGGAUGCUGCCAGGUCUGUGGAUCUGCACUUUGUCCACCUGUGCCUGCUUCUGGUCAUGGAUGCAGCUACAGGUUUUGGGAGGAGGUUUCCUGGUGGGGCACUUUGUAGAGGAGGAAGUAGACAAGGGCUUGCAGUAUCUGUCUACCUUCAAGGAAGUUAUUAUGUUACCACCUAUAGUGCACUUCAAGCCACAGACACAAGCUGUCACCUUUGCUAUGACUUCUGCUAUUCUCUUAAAAAAAAAAAAAAAAAAAAUAACCACCAAAACAGAAAAGGGACAGAGAGAAAACCUCUAAUGAGAAGGGGAAAUGUUAAUUGUGGCUGGAGGUGACAAUGCACAAUAAUAAAUUGCUGCUUUGCUAUUGUAUCUCUCAUCAAAGUACCCGAAGACUGCAGCAGAGCAAAAGCUCAGCUCCAAGGGAGGAUGAUGUUUCUCAAAAUCCUCAUGAUCCCUGCAGGUCUCGUUGAAUGGCAGAGAAAAGACAAACACAGAACCAAAGUUAAAAUUUUUCUGUGUCUCAGACUUGCUGCCAAUAAGGCUCCUGUUUCUCCCUGCAUCUUUUUGGCUGUGUCCACCCUAAUGGCUGCAGUGGGUCAAGAGAAAUGCACUGCCUCUGUGUGCAAAAACUACCCUAAUGGAAGCACUCUUAACAAGCAGAAUAUGGCUCACAAUUUAUUUUCUGCCUUGCUUUAUUUGAAAGUGAUGCUAAGACUGAAAUUUCCAGCUUAAGGUGAUGUGUUUUAGGCUACUCAAUCUGCAAGUUAGCAGCUGGAGAAAGCAGGCAAAACUUUUUAGGUGGACUGGGCCAUUGCUGCUGCCAGGCACAUCUCUAGGAGCUGCAAAGGCCACGUCUGAGAAGCAGGAUGGCCUUAAGGGAUACUCCUAAGUGUUGAUGAAGAACCCAGUUCUUACGAAACCAUGCCUAAUGGUUUUUUAGUAUAAAAGAUAUCCCUGAACUGGAAGCAGCAAGGACUACUUUGCCAAACCCAUGCCCUUCUGAACAAGACAUGGAGAAGGAGAGGAAAUAUUUUGGGACAUUUGAGAGAUUCUUUCUAGCAUUUUCAGUUCUGUUUUCUGUGCCUCCUGACCCCCAGGCACCAGGCACUUCAUUAAUUUACUGCAAUUUACCAAAGGAAAACAAGGUCUACCCACUUGCACCUUUAUAGCUAAAAUCUGCUCUCUGUGCUGUCUUGGUUACAAAAACAGGCACAGGCUGAAUGAGAGAAGCUGGGAACUUGUUAUGUAAAAUCUACUGCAAGUGAGCUUUUCUAGUGCCUUUUCUAUUAUGCCUUGACCCCUUAUUUUGGCACAGUAACAAAACCACUGAGACUGGGCAGUUAUAGGGUUUCACAGGCUUUUUUUUUUUUUUCUUCCUUUUUGGCCUCAUCACAAAACCCAAGUGAAUCAAUGGUGUGCCCAAACUUCUGAAAUAGUCUAAGACUUCCAGUAUCUUCUACACACAAAAACACAGUGGGGGAAGAUUUGUAUUCCGUUUAUUCUUUAUUGAAUCAGGACAGACUCCUGCCUAAAAAUACCUUGUUUAAGAUCACAAUAGAAAGCUCCCACACAUUUUUCCAGUUGCUUGAUAUUUGACUACAUUAUGAUCCCUGUUGUUUUGCCUUCACUUUGUUUUCUGUACGUGCCUUAAAGUCUCCAUUUUUCCCAAAAAUUACACUUGCCUGUAACUCAGGUGAUUAUUUUCCCCUCCAAGACUUGACCUUUGUUCCACUUCAGCAUCAUCACUUGAGUAAAAAAAUAACAGUAAAAAAUAAAUAUACUAAUAAAUAAAUGAAACUAGAACUGGGGGAAGGUUUGGGAAGGCUUGGGA